Balaenoptera ricei (Rice's whale) is the source of this 747-nucleotide long non-coding RNA. RefSeq lists it as uncharacterized. The transcript is spliced from 4 exons. The record is from RefSeq and is a predicted model, not a curated record. NCBI's taxonomy places the organism in Eukaryota, Metazoa, Chordata, Mammalia, Artiodactyla, Balaenopteridae.
CAGGAAAAGCGAGGCCAGAAAAAGGCUAGGAUUAGUAGCGAAAGGCAUCCACUGUAUGCAUGCAAGUCCUUGCCACACGCACGCCGGAACCUUCUCGAACCUUCUCGACUCUGGCCGGCCCCACCCCACGAUUGUUCCAGGGAAGACGCUGCCCGAGGCUCUGUGUCUAAUCUGGUGGCCCUGGAGAGUGACCCGGAAUCCCAUCACGCUUUCAAUGUCUUCAACACCCGGAUGCAGAUGGAGAAGACCCAGAGUGGAUGGGGCUAAGUUUGGAGGCAUCCAAAGGGGGCAUCUGACCAGCCUAGGAGGAGGACAGGGAGGGCUUCCUGGAGGAGGGGACCUGGCAGCGGAAAGAGCAGGUCUGAGGCCUCUGUCACCAGCGCCCACCUUCAGCUUCUCCAGAUCUUCCACACCGAGACCAAGCAGGGUGCCGUGCUGCACCCCACCUGCAUCUUCACCAACAGCCCCGAGGUGCUGCACACACAGGAGCAGGAGGCCAGGGGCGGCGACAGGAACCGAGGUACCGUGAGCCCAGCAGGGUGCCAGAGUUCCAGUUGCUCCAUCCUCAUCCUUAUCCUCGCCAGCACUUGGGAGAAUCAGUCUCUUUAAUUUCAACAUUCCAAUGGGCCUAGGGAAGUAUCUCAUUGUGAUUUAAAUUUGCAUUUUCCUAAAUAUUAAUGAAGUCUUUUCAUGCCCUUAUUUGCCAGUCCUAUGUCUUCUCUGAUGAAGUGUCUAUUUCCUCAAAUC